RNAcentral lists this ribosomal RNA (466 nucleotides) under uncultured bacterium. Its description in RNAcentral is "partial 16S ribosomal RNA". It matches the Rfam family "Bacterial small subunit ribosomal RNA", at positions 28 to 507 of the family's 1533-position model. The record is from RNAcentral.
GAUGAACGCUGGCGGCGCGCCUAACACAUGCAAGUCGAACGAUUAAAGACCUUCGGGUGUGUAUAAAGUGGCGAACGGCUGAGUAACACGUGGGCAACCUGCCCCUUUCAUUGGGAUAGCCACGGGAAACCGUGGAUAAUACCGAAUACUUCGAGACUUCCGCAUGGAAGACUCGAGAAAGCUCCGGCGGAGAGGGAUGGGCCCGCGGCCUGUUAGCUUGUUGGUGGGGUAACGGCCUACCAAGGCAAUGAUGGGUAGCUGGGUUGAGAGACCGACCAGCCAGAUUGGGACUGAGACACGGCCCAGACUCCUACGGGAGGCAGCAGUGGGGAAUCUUGCACAAUGGGCGAAAGCCUGAUGCAGCGACGCCGCGUGCGGGGUGAAGGCCUUCGGGUUGUAAACCGCUUUCAGCAGGGACGAGGCGAAGGUGACGGUACCUGCAGAAGAAGCCCCGGCUAACUACGUG